This 253-nucleotide ribosomal RNA is filed under the name uncultured bacterium. RNAcentral's name for it is "partial 16S ribosomal RNA". It matches the Rfam family "Bacterial small subunit ribosomal RNA", at positions 524 to 776 of the family's 1533-position model. The record is from RNAcentral.
UACGUAGGUGGCAAGCGUUGUCCGGAUUUACUGGGCGUAAAGAGCGCGCAGGCGGUCGUUCAAGUCGCGUGUGAAAGCCCCCGGCUCAACUGGGGAGGGUCACGCGAUACUGAUCGACUCGAAGGCAGGAGAGGGUAGUGGAAUUCCCGGUGUAGUGGUGAAAUGCGUAGAUAUCAGGAGGAACACCGGUGGCGAAGGCGCACACCUGGCCCGAUACUGACGCUGAGGCGCGAAAGCUAGGGGAGCAAACGGG